This is an RNA transcript of Panthera uncia (snow leopard), 840 nucleotides long. It is a transcript of the gene named defensin beta 124, with no coding region annotated. NCBI's taxonomy places the organism in Eukaryota, Metazoa, Chordata, Mammalia, Carnivora, Felidae. The transcript has 2 exons. The record is from RefSeq and is a predicted model, not a curated record.
UCGCACAUUGUCUGGGAGUGAGGCAACUUGGUUUCCAGUCCCAGCUCUGUGGCUCAAUUGCUGUACGGCCUUGAGCAACACACCUCCUUUCUUGAGGUUUCAGUUUCUUUAUUUCACAGUGAUAUCUGGACAGGUUACACAACGCUUACAGCCUGAGUUUGGCAUUCAAGGCCCCUCGUGCUCUGGCUCCUAUCCUCUGCAGGGCCGUUUCCAGUCUCUCCUCCUAAUGAACCCUUCUCUGGCCAUGCCCCACUCUUUCAGGUACAUUCUGUUCCUUCUGCCUGGAAUUCUGUUUCUGCUAUUCCUCUCUCAAGAGGCAACUCAGAUGCCCGGGUAGGACACUGUUCUAAGCUAUUUGCACAUAUGGUCCCAGUGGUCCUCAAAUUUUAGCUGUGCAUGAGAAUCAUUUGGAGGCUUGUUAAACCACAGCUUGCUGGGACCUGCACCCAGAGCUUUUGAUGCAGCAGGUUUGGGCAGAGCGUGAGGAUUUGCAUUUCUUUUUUUUUUUUCUUUAGAAAUGUUUUUAUUUGUUUUUGAGACAGAGAGAGACAGAGCGUGAGUGGGGGAGGGGCAGAGAGAGAGGGAGACACAGAAUCUGAAGCGGGCUCCAGGCUCUGAGCUGUCAGCACAGAGCCCGACGCGGGGCUCGAACUCAUGGAGUGUGAGAUCAUCCGAGUGUGAGAUCAUGACCUGAGCUGAAGUCGGCCACUCAACCGACUGAGCCACCCAGGUGCCCCAAGGAUUUGCAUUUCUAACAAGCCCAGGGAGAAGUGAAUUCAAGCGGUGCUGGAAAGGCCAAGGGGCCUGCCGAACUUACUGUACGAGUCAUGAAACCUACAU